RNAcentral lists this ribosomal RNA (1146 nucleotides) under Triticum aestivum (bread wheat). RNAcentral describes it as "partial small subunit ribosomal RNA". The record is from RNAcentral. Lineage: Eukaryota; Viridiplantae; Streptophyta; Magnoliopsida; Poales; Poaceae.
AUGGAGCUCGUGGCGUGGAAUUGUCGGGGGUUGGGGAACGGCCCGGCAAUUCGAGGGCUCCUGGAUAUCCGGGAGAAGGAGGACCCUGAUGUGAUGUUUCUCUGUGAGACAAGGACCGAUGAGAAGGGAUUGGAGUGGCUCAGGUGGAAGUUAGGGCUCCCUAACUGGGUGGUGCAGAAAAGUGCGGGACAGAGUGGCGGAUUGGCAGUGUUAUGGCGGAAUGGUUUGACAGUGAAAGGUGGAUGGUGUUCUCGGUAUCACAUUGACACUGAGAUUACCGAGGAGGAUGGUUUUGCCUGGAGAUUUACUGGUAUCUAUGGGGAGUCAAAGAUGGAUGAAAAACACAAGACUUGGAAACUACUGCGUACUCUGAAAAAUCAUAGCAAUAAACCUUGGCUGAUGGCGGGGGAUUUCAAUGAGAUCCUACUCCAGUGCGAGAAGGAAGGGGGGGUGGCUCGGUCCCAACAAGCUAUGGACAGCUUUUGAAGUGCUCUGGAGGAGUGUGACCUGCAUGAUCUCGGCUUCGCUGGUGAUCCAUACACCUGGCGAAAUAACAAUCAUGACUCGAAUAAAUAUAUCCGAGAGAGACUUGACAGAGCGGUGGCUUCACCAAGCUGGUGCCAACGAUUCCCCUUUUACAAAGUGGUGCAUGGUGACCCUCGGCACUCUGAUCAUAGGCCACUAAUUGUGCAGGUGGAGUCGGAGGGUAGGAGUAAGAGGCAAAGGGGUAGGAAGGGCCUAUUUCGCUUUGAAGCCAAGUGGCUGGAAGAGGAUCAGUGUGGUACUGUGGUGGAUAAUGCAUGGGGCAGAGAGAUAAAUGCUAGAGGGGGCUCCGUGAUGGAUGCACUAAAAGGAGUGGCGAAGGAUCUGACUGAGUGGAGUACAACCUGCUUGGGCCAGUUGGAGAAACGAAUUUCAAGACAAAAAAAAGAAUUGGAGGCAUGUCGAAGAAGUGCCAUUUCCCCUCAAUCGAUUCGGCGUGAGCAGAUUCUGAAAUAUAAGUUGGAAAGGUUGGAGCAUCAACUUGAUACAUACUGGAAGCAGAGGGAACACGUUAAUUGGAUGGAGAAGGGAGAUAAAAAUACUUCAUAUUUUCAGGCCUAUGCAUCAGCUAAAAAAAAGAUGAACCACUUCAGCAAACUCAAG